CAGCCGCCGCGGUAACACAGAGGACGCAAGCGUUAUCCGGAAUGAUUGGGCGUAAAGCGUCUGUAGGUGGCUUUUCAAGUCCGCCGUCAAAUCCCAGGGCUCAACCCAUCGUCUGCACAGGAAACUGUAGGGCUUGAGGAUGGGAGAGGCGAGUGGAAUUUCCGGUGUAGCGGUGAAAUGCGUAGAUAUCGGAAGGAACACCUGUGGCGAAAGCGGCUCACUGGACCAUUACUGACGCUGAUGCACGAAAGCUAGGGGAGCAAACAGGAUUAGAUACCCCCGUAGUCCCUGUCUCUUAUAA
RNAcentral lists this ribosomal RNA (301 nucleotides) under uncultured bacterium. RNAcentral's name for it is "partial 16S ribosomal RNA". It matches the Rfam family "Bacterial small subunit ribosomal RNA", at positions 509 to 809 of the family's 1533-position model. The record is from RNAcentral.